This 487-nucleotide ribosomal RNA is filed under the name uncultured bacterium. Its description in RNAcentral is "bacterial SSU rRNA". It matches the Rfam family "Bacterial small subunit ribosomal RNA", at positions 501 to 987 of the family's 1533-position model. The record is from RNAcentral.
CUACGUGCCAGCAGCCGCGGUAAUACGUAGGGUGCGAGCGUUAAUCGGAAUUACUGGGCGUAAAGCGAGCGCAGACGGUUACUUAAGCAGGAUGUGAAAUCCCCGGGCUCAACCUGGGAACUGCGUUCUGAACUGGGUGACUAGAGUGUGUCAGAGGGAGGUAGAAUUCCACGUGUAGCAGUGAAAUGCGUAGAGAUGUGGAGGAAUACCGAUGGCGAAGGCAGCCUCCUGGGAUAACACUGACGUUCAUGCUCGAAAGCGUGGGUAGCAAACAGGAUUAGAUACCCUGGUAGUCCACGCCCUAAACGAUGUCAAUUAGCUGUUGGGCAACUUGAUUGCUUAGUAGCGUAGCUAACGCGUGAAAUUGACCGCUUGGGGAGUACGGUCGCAAGAUUAAAACUCAAAGGAAUUGACGGGGACCCGCACAAGCGGUGGAUGAUGUGGAUUAAUUCGAUGCAACGCGAAGAACCUUACCUGGUCUUGACAU